Molecule: ribosomal RNA, 800 nt
Filed under: uncultured bacterium
Lineage: Bacteria
Description: bacterial SSU rRNA
Rfam family: Bacterial small subunit ribosomal RNA
Source: RNAcentral
AGAACAGGUUAGUGGCGGACGGGUGAGUAACACGUGGAUAAUCUGCCUGUAACACUGGGAUAACACAGUGAAAACGGUGCUAAUACCGGAUACCUUCAGAGGAUCGCAUGAUUUUUUGAAGAAAGCUUAAAAGUGGUUACAGAUGAAUCCGCGGCUGAUUAGCUAGUUGGUGGGGUAAAGGCCUACCAAGGCGAUGAUCAGUAGCCGGCCUGAGAGGGUGAACGGCCACACUGGGACUGAGACACGGCCCAGACUCCUACGGGAGGCAGCAGUGGGGAAUCUUCCGCAAUGGGCGAAAGCCUGACGGAGCAACGCCGCGUGGGUGAAGAAGGCCUUCGGGUUGUAAAGCCCUGUCUUCAGGGAAGAAAAAAAUGACGGUACCUGAGGAGGAAGCCACGGCUAACUACGUGCCAGCAGCCGCGGUAAUACGUAGGUGGCAAGCGUUGUCCGGAAUUACUGGGCGUAAAGGGCGUGUAGGCGGAUAACUAAGUCGGAUGUGAAAACUAAAGGCUUAACCAUUAGAUUGCAUUCGAAACUGGAUAUCUUGAGUGCAGGAGAGGGCAGUGGAAUUCCUAGUGUAGCGGUGAAAUGCGUAGAUAUUAGGAGGAACACCAGUGGCGAAGGCGGCUGCCUGGACUGUAACUGACGCUGAGGCGCGAAAGCGUGGGGAGCGAACUGGAUUAGAUACCCUGGUAGUCCACGCCGUAAACGAUGGGUACUAGGUGUAGGAGGUAUCGACCCCUCCUGUGCCGGAGUUAACACAAUAAGUACCCCGCCUGGGGAGUACGGCCGCAAGGUUG